Non-coding RNA from Paramuricea clavata, 1052 nucleotides. The record is from the annotation of a GenBank genome assembly. Lineage: Eukaryota; Metazoa; Cnidaria; Anthozoa; Malacalcyonacea; Plexauridae.
UGUAACUUAAUAGGUCAAUGGUCAGAACUGAAUGAUAAACAAUAAUAAACACAAAUUUGCUCGGCAUCAUGCCUUGUUGUCAUUAUACUCAAAAUGUACUUCAGUUUUAAUAACAAAAGUUGGGGUUUCAUCAUACAGUAUAUGACACACAUGCAUAAUAUAUGCAUGCUUCUAACCAGCUAUCUGACAGGUUUAAUUUUCAACAUUCCCAAGCCAUUUUAAUAUAUUCUCAAGAUUUGCCAAUCAGGUUUUCCAAAUAAGUACAUGAUUAUAUCACAUCACUGUUCAUUUUACAUUCUUCAAGUAGAUGCAGCCUAUAGGUUUACAGUAUUUAUUGUGUAUCACCAUGCAGAAAAUAUCUUGCAAUAUCUUGUUCAAAACCGUCAAAUCCAAGGUAAACGGUAGCCAGCCAUGUUACCAGUAAGAUUUCUAGUUUGUUGACUUUGAAAUGGCCAAGGUUUAACUCGAGUAUAAAUAUUUAUACUUUAUUGAAUAGCCCCUGUGUUUCGCUGACCAGGUAUUGCUGCUUUUGUCGCACUAUAAGAUGUUCUUUUGCCCGCCAAAGGGCUUAUUUUACGCAUAAUUGUAUUUCUAAAUUGAUCAUUCUUGACUUUAAAUUCCAAAAGCCACACGAGAAGCAGAUUAAGACGUCUUUACAAGUCCAAAUUUAUCAUAAAUUGCAACAAAUGUUAAAUGCGUGCCUUCUCAUUCCUUGCGUAAAAAUAUGCCCAGUCAGCGUUUUUACCUGGAGCAACUCAGUUUACUUCCGCUUCCGGGGGCACCCACCAAUGUUCUUUGGUGUUCCGGUUUGGAUUAUCCCGGCUUCUGAAAGUACAGCCUAGUCCCUAGGCCUCUUAGUACGCCUAUUUCGCGUUUCUGCAUAUUAAUGAGGUGACGGUUCCUGAGUACGAGGUUGUUUUUACUCCAUCCUCGUCCCCAGGCCCAAGCUCUGGCGGCCCCUUGCAGCUCAGGAAAUACUUGAAAAACCAGACACAGAACAGCUGGGCAAUUUUUCGACGCUGACCAAAAAUAGCGCCUCAUUUCUUCUUGAG